Long non-coding RNA from Perca flavescens (yellow perch), 510 nucleotides. RefSeq lists it as uncharacterized. Lineage: Eukaryota; Metazoa; Chordata; Actinopteri; Perciformes; Percidae. The transcript is spliced from 2 exons. The record is from RefSeq and is a predicted model, not a curated record.
UACAGCCUGGUCUGGACGGGUCAAUGGACAUUGUUUCGCCCAUACAGAGGUUUCCCCAUCUGAUCUAUAAGGAUGAUCUAACCGGACAGACCUGAUGGCCAGCUGUCUAAUGACCAAUGCAGACUCGUGGCCUACCGGGUGAUUCUGGAGUGGGUUCUGAGAGGAGAGCGCCUUGGCCGUAGCACCAGAAGAACAUUGCCUACCUGUGUUAUAGCAGCAAUCAGACAAGAGUACCCCUCCCCAACUGGAAGUUACACAGGAUUCAAAGAGGCAGAGGACAUUUUCUGAGUCAAAAACUAUCAUUUCUAGUAAUACUUGGUAUGGCCAUUACUAGGAAUAAACAAAGCAAUUGCACAGUUAAAUUAGGAAAACGUAAGAAUAUGUAUAUUGUACAAGUAAAGUUGAAUAAGUAAAUUGUAAGAAUAAAUAAAUUGUAAGAAUAAGUACAUUGUACAGUUCUAUACUGCACCUGUCUGUUACAGUGGUUUUAUAAUAUAACAAUACACAUUA